AUUGAACGCUGGCGGCAUGCUUUACACAUGCAAGUCGAACGGCAGCACGGGAGCUUGCUCCUGGUGGCGAGUGGCGAACGGGUGAGUAAUGCAUCGGAACGUACCCAGUAGUGGGGGAUAGCCCGGCGAAAGCCGGAUUAAUACCGCAUAUUUCCUGAGGGAGAAAGCGGGGGACCUUCGGGCCCCGCGCUACUGGAGCGGCUGAUGUCGGAUUAGCUAGUUGGUGAGGUAAAGGCUCACCAAGGCGACGAUCCGUAGCUGGUCUGAGAGGAUGAUCAGCUACACUGGGACUGAGACACGGCCCAGACUCCUACGGGAGGCAGCAGUGGGGAAUUUUGGACAAUGGGGGCAACCCUGACCCAGCCAUGCCGCGUGAGUGAAGAAGGCCUUCGGUUG
RNAcentral lists this ribosomal RNA (396 nucleotides) under uncultured bacterium. RNAcentral describes it as "bacterial SSU rRNA". It matches the Rfam family "Bacterial small subunit ribosomal RNA", at positions 30 to 425 of the family's 1533-position model. The record is from RNAcentral.